AGAGUUUGAUCAUGGCUCAGGACGAACGCUGGCGGCGUGCUUAACACAUGCAAGUCGAGCGGAAAGGCUUCCUUCGGGAAGUACUCGAGCGGCGAACGGGUGAGUAACACGUGGAUAAUCAACCUCUUGCUCUGGAAUACCCCGGGGAAACUCGGAUCAAUGCCAGAUAAAGUGCGGCGCUGCAGGGUGCCGUACCAAAGAUAGCUUCGGCCUUCGGCGAGAGACGAGUCCGCGGCCCAUUAGCUAGUUGGCGGGGUAAUGGCCCACCAAGGCUACGAUGGGUAGCUGGUCUGAGAGGAUGAUCAGCCACACUGGGACUGAGACACGGCCCAGACUCCUACGGGAGGCAGCAGUGGGGAAUCUUGCGCAAUGGGCGAAAGCCUGACGCAGCAACGCCGCGUGCGGGAGGAAGGCCUUCGGGUUGUAAACCGCUUUCAGGGGAGACGAAGCUUCCAGGGUGAAUAGCUCUGUGGAGUGACGGUAUCUUCAGAAGAAGUCCCGGCUAACUACGUGCCAGCAGCCGCGGUG
Molecule: ribosomal RNA, 528 nt
Filed under: uncultured Actinomycetes bacterium
Lineage: Bacteria; Bacillati; Actinomycetota; Actinomycetes
Description: bacterial SSU rRNA
Rfam family: Bacterial small subunit ribosomal RNA
Source: RNAcentral